CAAUAGCGUAUAUUAAAGUUGUUGCAGUUAAAAAGCUCGUAGUUGGAUUUGUGGCGUACGGUGUGUUCCGGGCACUUGUUGUCUGAGUAACCUGCUGUUGCCAUCCUUGGGUGGAACCUGUGUGGCAUUAGGUUGUCGUGCAGGGGAUGCCCAUCAUUUACUGUGAAAACAUUAGAGUGUUCAAAGCAGGCUUAUGCCGUUGAAUAUAUUAGCAUGGAAUAAUGAGAUAGGACUUUUUUGCUAUUUUGUUGGUUUGCGCAAAGAGGUAAUGAUUAAUAGGGACAGUUGGGGGUAUUCGUAUUCCAUUGUCAGAGGUGAAAUUCUUGGAUUUUUGGAAGACGAACUACUGCGAAAGCAUUUACCAAGGAUGUUUUCAUUAA
This 380-nucleotide ribosomal RNA is filed under the name uncultured eukaryote. Its description in RNAcentral is "partial 18S ribosomal RNA". It matches the Rfam family "Eukaryotic small subunit ribosomal RNA", at positions 592 to 976 of the family's 1831-position model. The record is from RNAcentral.